Long non-coding RNA from Dermacentor andersoni, 274 nucleotides. RefSeq lists it as uncharacterized. Lineage: Eukaryota; Metazoa; Arthropoda; Arachnida; Ixodida; Ixodidae. The record is from RefSeq and is a predicted model, not a curated record.
CGCCAGGCACGUAAACGGUUGUACCGGUGUGCGGUGUAUGCCUGAACGUCGGUGUCUGUGUAUGCGUGUCAUCUUUGUGGCAUCACACGUCAACUACACUGAACGCAUACACCUGCAGCACCUUUGGGACUAAUGACACAAAGGUCAAGGCCAGCCUGGCGACCGUGCUUGCCAAGGAGUAGUGUAAAUAUGUAAUCUGUUUCCAUAAUUAGCAUAAGACAUGAAUUUAAGGAAUUCAUAUAUUAUAUCGAGCAAUAAAAACGGUUAAUGCAUU